CCAACAACAGGCAACAAAAGUCUUCCGUUCAUUUACUCUGUCAUUUUUCACAAUCAAAAUUUGUUAUGUUCUCCAACAGUCAUUUGGUUCUGCUGGUCCUACUGGUGAUCACCUGCUUUCAUUCCAAAACUGUGGCCAAAGAUGAACUCAUGAAUCAGUUUUGUUUAAACACUGAUGAACCUGUACACAUGGAUUCCUCAACAGUACAAGGUCACGGAAUCUCCACAACUUUCUCUAAUUUAGCUACGACAAAUACAGCUAAACAGGAUCACACAGAACAACCACACACCACACAAUCACGUGGACGUUCAGCUUCAACAAAUCCAGCUCAACAGGAUCACGCACAACAUCUACACCCUGUAGAAUCAUAUGGAUGUUCAG
Long non-coding RNA from Silurus meridionalis, 381 nucleotides. RefSeq lists it as uncharacterized. Lineage: Eukaryota; Metazoa; Chordata; Actinopteri; Siluriformes; Siluridae. The record is from RefSeq and is a predicted model, not a curated record. The transcript is spliced from 3 exons.